Molecule: ribosomal RNA, 212 nt
Filed under: uncultured bacterium
Lineage: Bacteria
Description: partial 16S ribosomal RNA
Rfam family: Bacterial small subunit ribosomal RNA
Source: RNAcentral
ACUCCUACGGGAGGCAGCAGUAGGGGAAUCUUCCGCAAUGGGCGAAAGCUUGACGGAGCAACGCCGCGUGAGUGAUGAACGGUCGUUCGGAAUCGUAAAACUCUGUUAUUAGGGAAGAACAAAUGUGUAAGUAACUAUGCACGUCUUGACUGGUACCUAAUCAGAAAGCCACGGCUAACUACGUGCCAGCAGCCGCGGUAAUACGUAGGUGG